This 464-nucleotide ribosomal RNA is filed under the name Vreelandella stevensii. Its description in RNAcentral is "partial 16S ribosomal RNA". It matches the Rfam family "Bacterial small subunit ribosomal RNA", at positions 339 to 795 of the family's 1533-position model. The record is from RNAcentral. Lineage: Bacteria; Pseudomonadati; Pseudomonadota; Gammaproteobacteria; Oceanospirillales; Halomonadaceae.
CUACGGUGGGCAGCAGUGGGGAAUAUUGGACAAUGGGCGAAAGCCUGAUCCAGCCAUGCCGCGUGUGUGAAGAAGGCCUUCGGGUUGUAAAGCACUUUCAGUGGGGAAGAAAGCCUUGGGGCUAAUACCCUCGAGGAAGGACAUCACCCACAGAAGAAGCACCGGCUAACUCCGUGCCAGCAGCCGCGGUAAUACGGAGGGUGCGAGCGUUAAUCGGAAUUACUGGGCGUAAAGCGCGCGUAGGCGGUCUGAUAAGCCGGUUGUGAAAGCCCCGGGCUCAACCUGGGAACGGCAUCCGGAACUGUCAGGCUAGAGUGCAGGAGAGGAAGGUAGAAUUCCCGGUGUAGCGGUGAAAUGCGUAGAGAUCGGGAGGAAUACCAGUGGUGAAGGCGGCCUUCUGGACUGACACUGACGCUGAGGUGCGAAAGCGUGGGUAGCAAACAGGAUUAGAUACCCUUGUAGUC